GAUGAACGCUGGCGGCGUGCCUAAUACAUGCAAGUCGAGUGAAUGGAUUAAGAGCUUGCUCUUAUGAAGUUAGCGGCGGACGGGUGAGUAACACGUGGGUAACCUGCCCAUAAGACUGGGAUAACUCCGGGAAACCGGGGCUAAUACCGGAUAACAUUUUGAACCGCAUGGUUCGAAAUUGAAGGGCGGCUUCGGCUGUCACUUAUGGAUGGACCCGCGUCGCAUUAGCUAGUUGGUGAGGUAACGGCUCACCAAGGCAACGAUGCGUAGCCGACCUGAGAGGGGGAACGGCCACUCUGGGACUGAGACGCGGCCCAGACUCCUACGGGAGGCAGCAGUAGGGAAUCUUCCGCAAUGGACGAUAGUCUGACGGAGCAACGCCGCGUGAGUGAUGAAGGCUUUCGGGUCGUAAAACUCUGUUGUUAGGGAAGAACAAGUGCUAGUUGAAUAAGCUGGCACCUUGACGGUACCUAACCAGAAAGCCACGGCUAACUACGUGCCAGCCGCCGCGGUAA
Molecule: ribosomal RNA, 515 nt
Filed under: uncultured bacterium
Lineage: Bacteria
Description: partial 16S ribosomal RNA
Rfam family: Bacterial small subunit ribosomal RNA
Source: RNAcentral